UACGUAGGUGGCAAGCGUUGUCCGGAUUUACUGGGCGUAAAGGGCGCGUAGGCGGCCGCCUAAGUCAGACGUGAAAUCCCUCGGCUCAACCGGGGAACUGCGUCUGAUACUGGAUGGCUUGAAUCCGGGAGAGGGAUGCAGAAUUCCAGGUGUAGCGGUGAAAUGCGUAGAUAUCUGGAGGAAUACCGGUGGCGAAGGCGGCAUCCUGGACCGGCAUUGACGCUGAGGAGCGAAAGCCAGGGGAGCAAACGGG
This 253-nucleotide ribosomal RNA is filed under the name uncultured bacterium. Its description in RNAcentral is "partial 16S ribosomal RNA". It matches the Rfam family "Bacterial small subunit ribosomal RNA", at positions 524 to 776 of the family's 1533-position model. The record is from RNAcentral.